RNAcentral lists this ribosomal RNA (539 nucleotides) under uncultured archaeon. Its description in RNAcentral is "bacterial SSU rRNA". It matches the Rfam family "Archaeal small subunit ribosomal RNA", at positions 460 to 997 of the family's 1478-position model. The record is from RNAcentral.
AGCAGCCGCGGGAACACCGGCGGCCCGAGUGGUGAUCGUGAUUAUUGGGUCUAAAGGGUCCGUAGCCGGUUUGGUCAGUCCUCCGGGAAAUCUGAUAGCUCAACUAUUAGGCUUUCGGGGGAUACUGCCAGACUUGGAACCGGGAGAGGUAAGAGGUACUACAGGGGUAGGAGUGAAAUCUUGUAAUCCCUGUGGGACCACCUGUGGCGAAGGCGUCUUACCAGAACGGGUUCGACGGUGAGGGACGAAAGCUGGGGGCACGAACCGGAUUAGAUACCCGGGUAGUCCCAGCCGUAAACGAUGCUCGCUAGGUGUCAGGCAUGGCGCGACCGUGUCUGGUGCCGCAGGGAAGCCGUGAAGCGAGCCACCUGGGAAGUACGGCCGCAAGGCUGAAACUUAAAGGAAUUGGCGGGGGAACACAACAACGGGUGGAAGCCUGCGGUUUAAUUGGACUCAACGCCGGACAACUCACCGGGGGCGACAGCAAUAUGUAGGCCAAGCUGAAGACUUUGCCUGAAUCGCUGAGGGGUGGUGCAUGG